Molecule: long non-coding RNA, 1559 nt
Organism: Eriocheir sinensis (Chinese mitten crab)
Lineage: Eukaryota; Metazoa; Arthropoda; Malacostraca; Decapoda; Varunidae
Exons: 4
Source: RefSeq, a predicted model, not a curated record
GGGGUAAUGUUAGGUUGGGUUAGGUUAGGUAAGGUUUACAGGUGAAGUGAUUUUGAGCAUAUUUAAGUCUAAGAUUCAAGAGGGAGUCGGCUUGUUGGGGUAAGGUUAGGUAAGGUUAGGUUAGGUAAGGUUAGGUUUACAGGUGAAAAGUCUAAGUGAUUUUGAGCAUAUUUAAGUCUAAGAUUCAAGAGGGAGUGGGCUUGUUGGGGUAAGGUUAGGUAAGGUUAGGUUAGGUUAGGUUAGGUUUACAGGUGAAAAGUCUAAGUGAUUUUGAGCAUAUUUAAGUCUAAGAUUCAAGAGGGAGUGGGCUUGUUGGGGUAAGGUUAGGUUAGGUUAGGUUAGGUUUACAGGUGAAGUGAUUUUGAGCAUAUUUAAGUCUAAGAUUCAAGAGGGAGUGGGCUUGUUGGGGUAAGGUUAGGUUAGGUUAGGUUAGGUUUACAGGUGAAAAGUCUAAGUGAUUUUGAGCAUAUUUAAGUCUAAGAUUCAAGAGGGAGUGGGCUUGUUGGGGUAAGGUUAGGUCAGGUUAGGUUAGUUUUACAGGUGAAAAGUCUAAGUUGUUUUGAGCAUAUUUAAGUCUAAGAUUCAAGAGGGAGUGGGCUUGUUGGGGUAAGGUAAGGUUAGGUUAGGUUAGGUUAAGAAAAGGAAGGAAAAAAGAUUAGAAGGGAAGGAGAAGGAGGAGGAAGAGGAAGAGGAGGAGGAGGAGGAAGAAGAAAGGAGGCUAGGUUAAGUUAUAUGAAGAAAAGGAAGAAGGAAAACAGUAAUAAUAAUGUUAAUAAGGAAGGAAAGAAGGAAAAGGAGAGAUGGGGAAAAAACAUGACAGUCAAAACACAAAAUCUCGGUGACAUUAAAUUUAAAAGAUUCCACUAAGGUUUAAAGAUGGAUCAUUGAAUUUAAAAGAUUCCACUAAGGUUUAAGGGUGGAUCAUUGAAUUUAAAAGGAUUCCACUAAGGUUUAAGGGCGGAUCAUUGAAUUUAAAACGAUUCCACUCAGGUUUAAGGACGGAUCAUUAAAUUUAAAACCAUUCCACUAAGGUUUAAGGGCGGAUCAUUGAAUUUAAAACGAUUCCACUGAGGUUUAAGGACGGAUCAUUGAAUUUAAAACGAUUCCACUAAGGUUUAAGGACGGAUCAUUGAAUUUAAAACGAUUCCACUAAGGUUUAAGGGUGGAUCAUUGAAUUUAAAACGAUUCCACUAAGGUUUAAGGACGGAUCAUUGAAUUUAAAACGAUUCCACUAAGGUUUAAGGGCAGAUCAUUGAAUUUAAAACGAUUCCACUAAGGUUUAAGGGCAGAUCAUUGAAUUUAAAACGAUUCCACUAAGGUUUAAGGGCAGAUCAUUGAAUUUAAAACGAUUCCACUAAGGUUUAAGGGCGGAUCAUUGAAUUUAAAACGAUUCCACUAAGGUUUAAGGAUGGAUCAUUGAAUUUAAAACGAUUCCACUAAGGUUUAAAGAUGGAUCAUUGAAUUUAAAACCAUUCCACUAAGGUUUAAGGAUGGAUCAUUAAAUUUAAAACAAUUCCACUAAGGUUUAAGGGUGGAUCAUUAAAUUUAAAACAAUUCCA